RNAcentral lists this ribosomal RNA (492 nucleotides) under uncultured bacterium. RNAcentral's name for it is "partial 16S ribosomal RNA". It matches the Rfam family "Bacterial small subunit ribosomal RNA", at positions 29 to 507 of the family's 1533-position model. The record is from RNAcentral.
AGUGAACGCUGGCGGUAGGCCUAACACAUGCAAGUCGAACGGCAGCACAGUAAGAGCUUGCUCUUACGGGUGGCGAGUGGCGGACGGGUGAGGAAUACAUCGGAAUCUACUUUUUCGUGGGGGAUAACGGAGGGAAACUUACGCUACUACCGCAUACGACCUACGGGUGAAAGCAGGGGAUCUUCGGACCUUGCGCGUUUGAAUGAGCCGAUGUCGGAUUAGCUAGUUGGCGGGGUAAAGGCACACCAAGGCAACGAUCCGUAGCUGGCCUGAGAGGAUGAUCAGCCACACUGGAACUGAGACACGGUCCAGACUCCUACGGGAGGCAGCAGUAGGGAAUAUUGGACAAUGGGCGAAAGCCUGAUCCAGCAAUACCGCGUGGGUGAAGAAGGCCUUCGGGUUGUAAAGCCCUUUUGUUGGGAAAGAAAAGAAGUAGGAGUAACCCCCGCUGUUUUGACGGUACCUAAACAAUAAGCAACGGCUAACUUCGUG